This 386-nucleotide ribosomal RNA is filed under the name uncultured bacterium. RNAcentral describes it as "bacterial SSU rRNA". It matches the Rfam family "Bacterial small subunit ribosomal RNA", at positions 29 to 416 of the family's 1533-position model. The record is from RNAcentral.
AUUGAACGCUGGCGGCAUGCCUUACACAUGCAAGUCGAACGGCAGCACGGGAGCAAUCCUGGUGGCGAGUGGCGAACGGGUGAGUAAUAUAUCGGAACGUGCCCAGUAGUGGGGGAUAGCCCGGCGAAAGCCGGAUUAAUACCGCAUACGACCUGUGGGUGAAAGCGGGGGAUCGCAAGACCUCGCGCUAUUGGAGCGGCCGAUAUCAGAUUAGCUAGUUGGUGGGGUAAAGGCCUACCAAGGCGACGAUCUGUAGCUGGUCUGAGAGGACGACCAGCCACACUGGAACUGAGACACGGUCCAGACUCCUACGGGAGGCAGCAGUGGGGAAUUUUGGACAAUGGGCGCAAGCCUGAUCCAGCAAUGCCGCGUGAGUGAAGAAGGCC